Molecule: unclassified non-coding RNA, 353 nt
Filed under: soil metagenome
Description: partial contains 5.8S ribosomal RNA, internal transcribed spacer 2, and large subunit ribosomal RNA
Rfam family: 5.8S ribosomal RNA (bases 1-121)
Source: RNAcentral
GAUGAAGAACGUAGCGAAAUGCGAUAAGUAAUGCGAAUUGCAGAAUUUCCGUGAGUCAUCGAAUCUUUGAACGCACAUUGCGCCCAUUGGUAUUCCGAUGGGCAUGCCUGUUCGAGCGUCAUUAUCUUCCCUCAAACCUCGCGUUUGGUGUUGGGCCGUGCUGGUUCCUGCGUGACCAACUGGCCUCAAAGACAAUGACGGCGUCCGUGGGACCCUCGAUGCAACGAGCUUCUCAGGAGCACGCGUCGAGUUUCAAGGACCUUCCGGGCCGGUCUCUCCUCAUGUCAUUACAAGGUUGACCUCGGAUCAGGUAGGGAUACCCGCUGAACUUAAGCAUAUCAAUAAGCGGAGGA